CUACGGGGGGCAGCAGUGGGGAAUAUUGGGCAAUGGGCGCAAGCCUGACCCAGCAACGCCGCGUGAGGGAAGAAGGUCUUCGGAUUGUAAACCUCUGUCCUUGGGGACGAAAAAAAUGACGGUACCCAAGGAGGAAGCUCCGGCUAACUACGUGCCAGCAGCCGCGGUAAUACGUAGGGAGCAAGCGUUGUCCGGAAUUACUGGGCGUAAAGGGUGCGUAGGCGGCAUGGCAAGUCAGAUGUGAAAUCCCCGGGCUUAACUCGGGUGGGUCAUUUGAAACUGCUGUGCUUGAGUGCAGGAGAGGAAAGCGGAAUUCCUAGUGUAGCGGUGAAAUGCGUAGAUAUUAGGAAGAACACCAGUGGCGAAGGCGGCUUUCUGGACUGUAACUGACGCUGAGGCACGAAAGCGUGGGGAGCAAACAGGAUUAGAUACCCGAGUAGUC
RNAcentral lists this ribosomal RNA (442 nucleotides) under uncultured bacterium. RNAcentral's name for it is "partial 16S ribosomal RNA". It matches the Rfam family "Bacterial small subunit ribosomal RNA", at positions 339 to 795 of the family's 1533-position model. The record is from RNAcentral.